AUUGAACGCUGGCGGCAUGCCUAACACAUGCAAGUCGAGCGGAUGAAGGGAGCUUGCUCCUGGAUUCAGCGGCGGACGGGUGAGUAAUGCCUAGGAAUCUGCCUGGUAGUGGGGGAUAACGUCCGGAAACGGGCGCUAAUACCGCAUACGUCCUGAGGUAGAAAGUGGGGGAUCUUCGGACCUCACGCUAUCAGAUGAGCCUAGGUCGGAUUAGCUAGUUGGUGGGGUAAAGGCCUACCAAGGCGACGAUCCGUAACUGGUCUGAGAGGAUGAUCAGUCACACUGGAACUGAGACACGGUCCAGACUCCUACGGGAGGCAGCAGUGGGGAAUAUUGGACAAUGGGCGAAAGCCUGAUGCAGCCAUGCCGCGUGUGUGAAGAAGGUCUUCGGAUUGUAAAGCUCUUUAAGUUGGGAGGAAGAGCAGUAAGUUAAUACCUUGCUGUUUUGACGUUACCAACAGAAUAAGCACCGGCUAACUUCGUG
This 484-nucleotide ribosomal RNA is filed under the name uncultured bacterium. RNAcentral describes it as "partial 16S ribosomal RNA". It matches the Rfam family "Bacterial small subunit ribosomal RNA", at positions 30 to 507 of the family's 1533-position model. The record is from RNAcentral.